This is a transfer RNA of Selaginella moellendorffii, 74 nucleotides long. It matches the Rfam family "tRNA". From Rfam's summary of the family: Transfer RNA (tRNA) molecules are approximately 80 nucleotides in length. Their secondary structure includes four short double-helical elements and three loops (D, anti-codon, and T loops). The record is from Rfam. Lineage: Eukaryota; Viridiplantae; Streptophyta; Lycopodiopsida; Selaginellales; Selaginellaceae.
GUGCUUGUAGCUCAAUCGGAUAGAGCAUCUGUCUUCUAAACAGAAUGUCGCAGGUUCGAUCCCUGCCAGGCACG